Long non-coding RNA from Equus quagga, 2664 nucleotides. RefSeq lists it as uncharacterized. The record is from RefSeq and is a predicted model, not a curated record. The transcript has 4 exons. NCBI's taxonomy places the organism in Eukaryota, Metazoa, Chordata, Mammalia, Perissodactyla, Equidae.
GCAAGGAGCCGAGUGGGACACAGCAGCUGAGGCCGGGCCCAGGGAGAUCCAGAACUGCAGCCGGGCCUCCCAGCUGCUGCCAGGCGGCCAGAGAUGCGCUCCCCGGAGAACAGCUCCUGCAGCGACUCUUGGAGAGGCUGCACUCCAUGCCCUGCGCUACCUGCCCAGGGCUUUGGCCUGUCCUAGCCAUCAUUCAAAGGGCUUCUGAUUGGCGAAACCCUGGGUGAAGGGGCGCCCCAUACUGAGCGAGGAGCAGCCAGCUAUGGAGGGAGCCCACGCGAGUCUGAUGGCUGUGUCAGGAGCAGGACGUUCAAGUGGCCCUGUGUCUGAGCCAACAAGCGGGACCACGUCUGUGGAUACACAGCCCACUGCGGAGGACCUGCCCUGUUGUUUCAGAGUUGUUUGCCUUGUCAACUACCAUCCCUUAAGCACCUACUGAGUGCUAGGCACUGGGAUACAGGAAGCAAGCAUUGUGGAAAGGACCAGAGGCGCGAACAGAGUGGUUCAUUGAGAAAUCCCUUGAGAACAAAGAUGGGUCUGUUUCUGUAGUGGUUUGGUUUCCAAUAAGAAAGCUGCAUUUGAAUAUCAGCAGGACUGUUUCCUGGUUCCCACAGUCCACGCCUUUGCCUCUGGAAACACUAAAGGUGUGACAAGAGCCCACAGACAUCUGGAGAAAUGAUUUAUUUUAGAAAGUCACCAUUUUUUCCUCCUGAGGGCUCUGAGUUUACCUAACGGUGAGCUGCUUCUCGUUGUGAUGAAGCCAUUUAGAUGUGGACGCUGUCACCACGGAUAAAGAGCUCGUCCCAAAGUCUCUCAAAGAGCCAGCAGAUACCUCCGACGUGGAGUUGUCACCCCACUGGGGGACGUCCCUUGACAGAGCAGAGAAGCCGCCGCUGCACAUGGGUUUCCACUCGUUCAUCAGAGCAUCGGGUCGCAGGUCAGACGUCUGGGGCCAACAACGUUUAGCACUGUGGGUCAUCAGUCCCUGCGGCUGAGGCUGAAGGAAUUGAGCUGGAUCUUUUUAAUGUUUCUGGAACUUGUUUGGAGGCAAAAGACGAGAUUUUUGAAAAUGGAGGCACUUGAUGAGCAUUGCAUAACCCAGGGUAGACUGUGAGUGGAAAUGUCGUCCACUGGCUCUCCAGAUCGUGCGUUUACAAUUCGUGUUGGUCUACACAAAUGGAAGCUGCCUGCGAUUUUUGUGGAAGGCGUGGGGUAAUCCUGUGCUUGGUUUGUUUGAUGUCGAGAAGGCCGACUGGUCUGGCCCUUGUGAAGAGGCAGAGCAGGAAGCUCUGAAGUACGCAGUGAGUGUGUGUGUGUGAGUGAGUGUGUGUGUGAGUGUGUGUGUGUGAGUGAGUGUGUGUGUGAGUGCGUCUAGCGGGGCAGUGGAGUCCGGCAGCACGCGUACCUGAAAAUCCCCCUUCCCUCCCCUGUGAGCCCUGCUGCAGAGGGAGGGGACGCACACGGAACUCUCCUGGAGGACGCUCCUCAGCCCACGGUCCCUCCAUUCACCAAACCGCUCAGGUUAGAAACUGAAGAAUCACCCUUCACUCCUGUCUUUCUGGGUCCAUCCAGAAUCUGACAAUUUCAUCACAGCAUCAAAUAGAUGAGUCAGACCCAUCUACUGCCCGGUGACUGCUGAGGUCUCCUACCUGGUCUCCCAGGAUCUCCCUUAGUCCGUCCCUCGACAGCCUGGUCUCCACACUCAAUCAGUCAUUGUUAUUAAAAUUGUCAGGUCCUGUCACUCCUCUGCUCAAAACCCUCCUCGGGCCUAACACCUCAGCAGCCGGGCCCUUCUCACCUGGCUGCCGUUAGAAUCCCCAUCCCCAGGCUGUCCCCUCACUGAGUGACUCCAGGGUGCAGCCAGGCCAGGAGCCAGUACCCUGAGCUCCCGCCCUGGCCCCUCUGCCUCGUGUCCUUCACUCUCCCUUUGCUCCCACACACCAGCCUCGCCCACCUCCUGUGUUGCUGCCUCAAGGCCAUUGCCUCUGCCUGGACAGCUCCCUCACCUCCUUCAGGUCUCUGGCCAAUGCCACCUCCUCAGAGAGGCCAGCCCACCAUUCUCUACUAUCUGCUCCCUUCUCCUCGAGGGGCUCUCACUAUGUCUCCCACCAGGCUGGGUGGCUCCUGUUUUGUUCCGGAACCCCCAGAGUCUAGAAGAGAGCAGGCACAUAGCAGAGAGCAGGCACAUAGCAGGCACUCAAUUAAGUGUCUUCACUGUAGGAAGAGUGAGUAAGGAUGGUGACCCCACCUGGGCCAGCAGGACUUGUCUAUGGAGGUGACCUUCCCAGUAGAAGGGAGCUGCUGCUUAAAGGGCAAAAGCCCCGGAUCUAGACCUCAGGGGGUAAGGGCUUGAUCAGGGCGACGCCUGCUACCAGCGUGAAUGUCUUCUCCUCUCUGCCUCAGUUUCUUCUUCUGUAUAAUGGGAAUAAUGGGACUUGCUCCUUAGUGUGAGUUUGAGGAUUAAACGCAGUGAUGGAAGUGAUGCUGUUGGCCUGAUUCGAGGCUCAAUAGCAUAAUUAUGGGUCAAGAGCAAGUCAGCUUCAAUCGGAAGCAUUUAAGAGUCAUCUUAUACUCUGACGACUUGAUUUAUGUAUUGAUGAACUCUUACUAUUACCCACUAGGAAUGGCGGCCCAGAGAGGAGCCGUGCGUGGCCCGAAGGUGCA